RNAcentral lists this long non-coding RNA (2122 nucleotides) under Homo sapiens (human). RNAcentral describes it as "HSALNT0039590". Lineage: Eukaryota; Metazoa; Chordata; Mammalia; Primates; Hominidae. The record is from RNAcentral.
UUGGGGGCUGGGGCUUCAGCCUAAGCAUCUGGGGGGAACAGGCAUUCGGUCCAAACAAGUGGGCUCAGUACUGCACUGUUCCUCACCCAGGCCCAGCCUAGGGGCCCUGCUAUUCUUUUGCUCCAGGCCCCAGGUUCUCAAAACCGCAGAUUCCACAGGCUGAAAGCCCUCCUGAGGCAUCUUGAGUGGGCCUCUUCUGGCACCUGAAACAGCCUUAGGAAAAGCAGCAUCCUUCUUGCUUCCCUAGCUAGAAGAUAAAUUCGCCCUCCCACUGACAGCCCCAUUUUCUGAGGGCCGAGUGCUCUGGGUCCCUGCAGGAUGGUGGGAUUACCGAGAGCAAAGAGAGCCAGCCUCACCUUGGGGAACACGCAGACCCAGAGCACCCACUGUCCACAGACAGGCAGAGGGUCCCAGCUAGACUGCCCCAGCCGCAGGGCUCCUGGCAGUAGAAUGCUGCUAGCAGGGCCAGUCAGGCUUCCCAGAGCUUAACCUGAGGUUUAGCAUCAAAAUGCCUGCACUUACAAAUGUAAAUAACGCUCCAAAUACCUUAGACCAACAUCAGUGCUGGGUUUGGCUUGCAAAUAAUUCAUGUUUGGUCUAAAUGGGUUUAUUCUGCCUCGUUUGAGUGAUUAGUUGCCUUAGAAAGCAUCAAGGAAUAGAGGCUCUACUAAGCCAGCAAGAAGGGGAUAAUGCAGGAAUUGAAAUGCAGAGAGGACUUCUCAGGGCCAGGCUGUUAGCAAUUGCUAUUAGAUUAAGGGAUCAUUUGGCGGAAUUUAAAAUGGAAGUAGGCACAACUCAGGAGAAAGAAUGAGAGAGAAUAUUUCUCCCGCAUCUCGCUGGAGGGUGGAGGAGACAGGCUGGUGCUCUCCAGUGUCUGGGCUGCAGCACAGAGUUCUGCUUUUCAGAGGGGAGGGCUGACCAAGGAGUGUCUGCUGUCCAAUGCUUCUCAAAUGCCACCAAGUCCCCUUGCCGCCCACACUGGCUCCCACAGCUUAGUUCUAUUACGCAGUGGAAAUGCAGGCCCAUGCUGAGGAGGUAAACCAAAAGCAAAGUGUUAGGAAGAAGAGGUCACCAACUGCGGGCAGCUGGGGACAGGGUAGUGCUGCCAGCCCCACGGGCACCAUUUGCAUGGCCACUGCUGACAACACUGCACAUGGGACAGUCCCUUGGAGGCUUCUGACCACAGGCCAGAGAGCGACUAAUAAGUGGAGAGUGGGGACUGCCUACACCCAGGCCAAAAUACCCCUUGCUAGAGUCCGGCUUCCAGACCACCAACUUCACUGCAGAACUUGAUUCUCCUAUCAAGCAGGGUCUCUUGGCCCAGCCAACAAGAACAAUGAUGAAGACAUAUUGACUGCUGCCUGCACAAACCCCUGGGCUAAGGGCAUUACAUGAUCCGUCCUAUUGAAUCCUUACAACAGUCUGGAAGCUGGGGCUGGCAUUAUCCCAUUCUCCAGAUGAGAAAUCCUAAGUGGAGGGAGAGUACGACCUGCCCAGAGUCGCACCCUGAAGACCUGCAGGUGGAGGAUGUAGAGAAAGGAGGAAUUGCGAUUCCCUGAUCUGGGGGUUGGACUGUGGGUGGAAGGUAGUGCCUUUCCCCUGAGGCUGGUGAGUGCCAGUGUCUGUUGGACAAGUCAGUGAACAUGUCCUAGAGACAACUGGAUGUAAGUCUGCAGCCCAGUGGAGAGGUUAAGGCAGAAUUAGAAAUGUUGGUGAAGGUGUCAGUGGUGUUGAUGGUGUGCGGGAUAGCCGUGAUGGAUCCACAGCUGCUCUCUAUUCCCAAAUGAUGCUUUUCUAUUCCAGCCAGGGCCAGGUGUGCAGGAAAGGGAGGUAGGGAAGUUUCCCUUCAAGCCCCUUCCCAGGGCCCUGCCCCUCUGUUCCAAUGUGUCUGGGAUUGUCAGGCAGUAGGCCGUGCCUAAGACUAUGUGACAAGGACUGGAUGCUUACUGAGGUCAUAUCCUGUGAGCCUCUCCUCCCAUGAAUAAAUGCUUCACCCCAAGAACUCCCGCCUGCCUCUGCAGAACCCUCCUCUCUUGUUCCAGAGCUGCUCCCCCUUCCCUUCCUCCUUCUCCUUUGCCUGUGUCAAGCACGUCCGUGUGAAGAGACCACCAACAGGAUUUGU